CCGGACCGGUGCACGAACCCAUGUCCCCUGCAUCGGCAGGCGGACUCUCAACCACUGCGCCACCAGGGAAGCCCAAAAUAGCAGAUUUUAAGUGUUCAGUUUGAGAAGUUUUGACAACCAUAUAUACUCAUGCAAGCAUCACCAGAAAUAAGAUAUAGAAUAUUUCUGUCAGUCUAGAAAAUUCUCUCAUGUGCUUUCAGUUCAAUUUCCCCCACCCCAAAGGCAACCACUCUCUGAUUUCUAUCACCCUACAUUUGUUUUGCCUAUUUUUAUCCUUCACAUAAAUGAAGUCAUUUAGUAUGUAGUCUUUUGUGUCGGGCUUCUUUUGCUCAACAUGGUAUUUUUUGAGAAAUAUCCACUUCAUUGUGUGUAUCAAUGCUUUCUUCUUAUUCUUAAGUAGUAUUUCAUUAUAUCAAAAUGUGUUUAUCCAUUCUCCUACUGGUAUUUAUUUGGAUUGUUUUCACUUUGAGGAUAUUAAGAAUAAGGUCUAUGAAUGUGCUUGUACAAGUCUUUUUGUAGACAUAUAUUUUCAUUUCUCUUGGAUAAAUACCCAGUAGUAGAAUUGCUGGGUCAUUGAAGAAAUGAAUGUCAGUUGCCAAACAAUUUUCCAAAGUUGUUGUACCAUUUUAUAUUCCCACCAGCAAUGUAUAAAGGGUCUGGUUCUCUACAUCCUCACCAACAUUUGAUGUUGUCAGUUUUUUAAAUUUUUACCAUUCUGGUGGAUGUGAAAUGGUAUCUCAUUGUGGUUUUAAUUUUCAUUUCUCUGAUAACUAGUAUGUUAAGCAUCAUUUAUAAAGUGUCUACUAAAGUCUUUUGCUCAUUUUUAAAAUUAGGUAAUUUGGGGUAUUUUUUAUUGUUGAUUAUACAUUCUGGAUAUGAGUCCAUUGUCAUAUAAAUGUAUUGAGACUAUUUUUCCCAGUCUGUGGCUUGCUUACUCAUUUUUAUAAUGAAUGUUUCAAUUUUUAAUAAGCCUAAUUUAUAUUUGUCUUUUAUGCUUAAUAUUUUCUGUGUCCUCUCUAAUAAAUCUUUACCUACCCUAAGAUUAUAAAAAUUCUUCCUAUGUUCUUAUAGAAACGUUAUGGUUCUAGCUUUUUACAUUUAGGUCUAUGAUUCAUCUCAAAUCAAUAUUCACUCAUAGAGGUCUAGUUUAUCUGACCUGAAUAACAACAUUUAUAAUCGAGCAAGAAAACAAAGUUCAACAGCAAACAGAGGAGAAUAUUUACUGGAUGACUGAUCUAAAGCAUCCUGAACGUUUCCGUAAUAAUUUAAGAUCUACUUGUCAAGUUCUAUGAAAAAGCCUUUACUGGAUUUAGAGAUUGCGUAGAGAAGAAUUAACAUAUUAACAAUGUCCAGCCUUCUUACUUCUGAGCUUGGUGUAUAUGAACAAGGCCUUCACAUGCUUGUGGUCCCUGCAGUAAAACCUCUUCAUUUGAACCACCUGCUGCAACCCUGAUUGAUACAAAGAGACUACACUGAAUAGCCAUGGAGUGCUUUGAAAGGAAUACCUGCUGUGAAUCUAAGUUUGUGGAACCAUCAGACCACACGGUGCAAGAGACCAUGGGUUUCAGAAUCAGACACACCUGAAUUAGCAACCAGGCUCUGUCACUUACUAGCCGUGUGACCCUGGACUAUAAAGAAAUUUGAGUUGAUUUCACCAAGGGUUGACAUGAGCUGAGAGGACAUCUCCCGCCAGGCAGGGAGCAUUUGGCGCUGCUCCUAGAAACUGAACCUGGAUAUCAAAUCCAGACGGUGCUUUCUUUUCAUUCUUUUGAGUUGAAUUCCUUGAAGAUGGAUGAGAAUCAUUGACAGUGAGUACAGUUGUCCUUCCAUAUCCGCAGGGGAUUGGUUCCAGGACCCCCACGGAGACCAAAAGCCACAGAUGCUCAAGCUCCUUAAAUAAAAUGGUGUAGUACGGUUGGCCCUCCCUUAUCCGUGGGUUCCCACAUUUGCAGAUUCAACCAGUGGUGAUCCGUCUUCAGUUCCAUCUUUGUGACCACCCUAUUGGCCUAGUGUCCAGUCUCUGCAAGGGACAUGCGCAGUCACUGAACUCAGGUUGUUCCAAAGCUAUGGUUUGCCAUCUGGCAUAUUUGGUUCUCCCUGUCUAAAUGCAGUUUACCAAUCAGGGGUCCAUUUUUACCAGCCACAUAGCUACACAGUUCACAAAUCACCUUAUCGGGUUGCCAGGGGAACAAUGCUAAAAAGUUAACAUAAGGUCAAAUUCUCAUGAAGGAUGGGAAAGGAUUUUGUUAACCGUUUACCCACAUAGAGGUUUCUGUCAACUUGACUGUAAUGGAUUCUUUUAAUAUAUUCCUAGAUUGUACUUACUAAUCAUUUAUUUAGGGCUUUUGCAUUGAUAUUCAUAUCUGUACAUGUGUGUAUGUUUGUGCACAUAUGAAAAGGCUAUUUUUUCAGGUGUAGAUAUCAAUGACUUCUCAGGAAUAAUUCGUAAGCAUUUCUUUUUUGAUAUUUUAGAGGAAUUUAAAUAGUAUUAGAAUUAUCUGUUCUUUGAAGGGGUGGUAUGCUCUGAUUGUGGUAUAGCUACAGCUGCUGUGUGUAGGCUGGAAAGCUUGUGACUCACGUUAUUUUGUAAAAUUAUUACUGUGCUCGCUUGGAAGGUACAGUAUAUCCAGACAAAAGGAAUAUCAUUAUAGAAAAUAAGAAUGUUAGUAUAUUUGCUGCUCCUUGUUGCUUUUACAAGGUAUCUUAAGAAAGGGAUGGCCUCGGGCAAGAAUUGGCUGUUUUACAAGCAGAAAUGUCAGGAAAUGAGAAUGUCCAGAAAUUUUGGGCCUCCCAGGGUUGAAAAAGACAACUGCUUUUAUGCCCUGAACAUUAAUAUAAAUAUAUAUCUGAUCCCUGUGGCAAGGAUCAGAGUAAGGGUGUGGCCCUCCCAAACAACCCUAUAAUUUCAGCUAGCCUCAAGGUGGCCUCCAUUAAGAUGAAAGAGUAAGGUAUGGACACGAGGAAUCAAAGAAAUAAAGCAGGCUUAAGAACUAGGACUAGAAAAGACUUUGGUUAUGUUAUCUGCACAAGGAACUGACUGGAAGCAAUUAGAUCAGAAGUCUAUUAGGGUUUUAAGGAGAUCUUAAAGCCACAGAAACCAUGAGUCUGGCCUGAAAAUGUGGUCUCUCUUAGCUCCUUAAAAGCAACACUCAGGCCUUCAAAUCUGUACCAGUAGAAAAAGAACUGUCAGUGAUGUACAGUCCCCAAGGAAGGCAUAUGCUCCAAUAGUCACUUCUGAUGUGGCCCUAGAGGAUGGAUGAACGGACAAGGUAGUAGAAGCAGGGGUGACCUGAUUGUCUGACCCUCCCUCUGCUGCCAGAGAAGAGCAUCUCCGUAAUUCUUGCUCACCUGGGGUCAGAACUGCUGUCAAGGGCUUCCCUGGUGGCGCAGUGGUUGAGAGUCCGCCUGCCCAUGCAGGGGACACGGGUUCGUGCCCCGG
This is a long non-coding RNA of Aethalodelphis obliquidens (Pacific white-sided dolphin), 3439 nucleotides long. RefSeq lists it as uncharacterized. The transcript has 7 exons. NCBI's taxonomy places the organism in Eukaryota, Metazoa, Chordata, Mammalia, Artiodactyla, Delphinidae. The record is from RefSeq and is a predicted model, not a curated record.